RNAcentral lists this unclassified non-coding RNA (338 nucleotides) under soil metagenome. RNAcentral describes it as "partial contains 5.8S ribosomal RNA, internal transcribed spacer 2, and large subunit ribosomal RNA". The stretch from base 1 to 122 matches the Rfam family "5.8S ribosomal RNA", at positions 35 to 154 of the family's 154-position model. The record is from RNAcentral.
GAUGAAGAACGUAGCGAAAUGCGAUACGUAAUGUGAAUUGCAGAUCUCUCAGUGAACCAUCGAAUCUUUGAACGCACAUUGCGCCCGCCAGUAUUCUGGCGGGCAUGCCUGUUCGAGCGUCAUUUCAACCAUCAAGCCCCCGGCUUGUGUUGGGGACCUGCGGCUGCCGCAGGCCCUGAAAAGCAGUGGCGGGCUCGCUGUCACACCGAGCGUAGUAGCAUACAUCUCGCUCUGGGCGUGCUGCGGGUUCCGGCCGUUAAACCACCUUCAUAACCCAAGGUUGACCUCGGAUCAGGUAGGAAGACCCGCUGAACUUAAGCAUAUCAAUAAGCGGAGGA